GAUGAACGCUGGCGGCGUGCCUAAUACAUGCUAGUCGAGCGAAUGGAUUAAGAGCUUGCUCUUAUGAAGUUAGCGGCGGACGGGUGAGUAACACGUGGGUAACCUGCCCAUAAGACUGGGAUAACUCCGGGAAACCGGGGCUAAUACCGGAUAACAUUUUGAACCGCAUGGUUCGAAAUUGAAAGGCGGCUUCGGAUGUCACUUAUGGAUGGACCCGCGUCGCAUUAGCUAGUUGGUGAGGUAACGGCUCACCAAGGCAACGAUGCGUAGCCGACCUGAGAGGGUGAUCGGCCACACUGGGACUGAGACACGGCCCAGACUCCUACGGGAGGCAGCAGUAGGGAAUCUUCCGCAAUGGACGAAAGUCUGACGGAGCAACGCCGCGUGAGUGAUGAAGGCUUUCGGGUCGUAAAACUCUGUUGUUAGGGAAGAACAAGUGCUAGUUGAAUAAGCUGGCACCUUGACGGUACCUAACCAGAAAGCCACGGCUAACUACGUGCCAGCCGCCGCUGUAA
This 515-nucleotide ribosomal RNA is filed under the name uncultured bacterium. RNAcentral's name for it is "partial 16S ribosomal RNA". It matches the Rfam family "Bacterial small subunit ribosomal RNA", at positions 28 to 523 of the family's 1533-position model. The record is from RNAcentral.